This 497-nucleotide ribosomal RNA is filed under the name uncultured bacterium. RNAcentral describes it as "partial 16S ribosomal RNA". It matches the Rfam family "Bacterial small subunit ribosomal RNA", at positions 28 to 507 of the family's 1533-position model. The record is from RNAcentral.
GAUGAACGCUGGCGGCGUGCCUAACACAUGCAAGUCGAGCGAACAGACGAGGAGCUUGCUCCUCUGACGUUAGCGGCGGACGGGUGAGUAACACGUGGAUAACCUACCUAUAAGACUGGGAUAACUUCGGGAAACCGGAGCUAAUACCGGAUAAUAUAUUGAACCGCAUGGUUCAAUAGUGAAAGACGGUUUUGCUGUCACUUAUAGAUGGAUCCGCGCCGCAUUAGCUAGUUGGUAAGGUAACGGCUUACCAAGGCAACGAUGCGUAGCCGACCUGAGAGGGUGAUCGGCCACACUGGAACUGAGACACGGUCCAGACUCCUACGGGAGGCAGCAGUAGGGAAUCUUCCGCAAUGGGCGAAAGCCUGACGGGGCAACGCCGCGUGAGUGAUGAAGGUCUUCGGAUCGUAAAACUCUGUUAUUAGGGAAGAACAAAUGUGUAAGUAACUAUGCACGUCUUGACGGUACCUAAUCAGAAAGCCACGGCUAACUACGUG